UACGUAUGGAGCGAGCGUUGUCCGGAAUUAUUGGGCGUAAAGGGUACGCAGGCGGUUUAAUAAGUCGAAUGUUAAAGAUCGGGGCUCAACCCCGUAAAGCAUUGGAAACUGAUAAACUUGAGUAGUGGAGAGGAAAGUGGAAUUCCUAGUGUAGUGGUGAAAUACGUAGAUAUUAGGAGGAAUACCAGUAGCGAAGGCGACUUUCUGGACACAAACUGACGCUGAGGUACGAAAGCGUGGGGAGCAAACAGG
This 252-nucleotide ribosomal RNA is filed under the name Finegoldia magna. RNAcentral's name for it is "partial 16S ribosomal RNA". It matches the Rfam family "Bacterial small subunit ribosomal RNA", at positions 524 to 776 of the family's 1533-position model. The record is from RNAcentral. RNAcentral also lists the same sequence under 2 other names. Lineage: Bacteria; Bacillati; Bacillota; Tissierellia; Tissierellales; Peptoniphilaceae.